This 497-nucleotide ribosomal RNA is filed under the name uncultured bacterium. Its description in RNAcentral is "partial 16S ribosomal RNA". It matches the Rfam family "Bacterial small subunit ribosomal RNA", at positions 28 to 507 of the family's 1533-position model. The record is from RNAcentral.
GAUGAACGCUGGCGGCGUGCCUAAUACAUGCAAGUCGAGCGAACAGAUGAGGAGCUUGCUCCUCUGACGUUAGCGGCGGACGGGUGAGUAACACGUGGAUAACCUACCUAUAAGACUGGGAUAACUUCGGGAAACCGGAGCUAAUACCGGAUAAUAUAUUGAACCGCAUGGUUCAAUAGUGAAAGACGGUUUUGCUGUCACUUAUAGAUGGAUCCGCGCCGCAUUAGCUAGUUGGUAAGGUAACGGCUUACCAAGGCAACGAUGCGUAGCCGACCUGGGAGGGUGGUCGGCCACACUGGAACUGAGACACGGUCCAGACUCCUACGGGAGGCAGCAGUAGGGAAUCUUCCGCAAUGGGCGAAAGCCUGACGGAGCAACGCCGCGUGAGUGAUGAAGGUCUUCGGAUCGUAAAACUCUGUUAUUAGGGAAGAACAAAUGUGUAAGUAACUAUGCACGUCUUGACGGUACCUAAUCAGAAAGCCACGGCUAACUACGUG